This 169-nucleotide small nuclear RNA is filed under the name Pogona vitticeps (central bearded dragon). RNAcentral's name for it is "U1 spliceosomal RNA (ENSPVIG00000004078.1)". It matches the Rfam family "U1 spliceosomal RNA". From Rfam's summary of the family: U1 is a small nuclear RNA (snRNA) component of the spliceosome (involved in pre-mRNA splicing). Its 5' end forms complementary base pairs with the 5' splice junction, thus defining the 5' donor site of an intron. The record is from RNAcentral. Lineage: Eukaryota; Metazoa; Chordata; Lepidosauria; Squamata; Agamidae.
ACUCAUACCUUGUAGGGGAAAUACCAUGUUGUAAAAUUGGUUUUCCUAGGCGGAAGAGGAUCAUCCAUUGCACUUUUGGUGUGUUGUUGACCCAUAUGAUUUCCCCAAAUGUGGGGAACUCAACUACAUAAUUUGCAUUAAUGGGGGCAUUAUGUUUGUGAUUUUUCUG